RNAcentral lists this ribosomal RNA (250 nucleotides) under uncultured bacterium. Its description in RNAcentral is "partial 16S ribosomal RNA". It matches the Rfam family "Bacterial small subunit ribosomal RNA", at positions 524 to 773 of the family's 1533-position model. The record is from RNAcentral.
UACGAAGGGGGCUAGCGUUGUUCGGAAUCACUGGGCGUAAAGCGCACGUAGGCGGAUUUGCCAGUCAGGGGUGAAAUCCCGGGGCUCAACCUCGGAACUGCCCUUGAUACAGCAAAUCUCGAGUCCGGAAGAGGUGAGUGGAAUUCCUAGUGUAGAGGUGAAAUUCGUAGAUAUUAGGAAGAACACCAGUGGCGAAGGCGGCUCACUGGUCCGGCACUGACGCUGAGGUGCGAAAGCGUGGGGAGCAAAC